This 275-nucleotide ribosomal RNA is filed under the name uncultured bacterium. RNAcentral describes it as "partial 16S ribosomal RNA". It matches the Rfam family "Bacterial small subunit ribosomal RNA", at positions 338 to 610 of the family's 1533-position model. The record is from RNAcentral.
CCUACGGGAGGCUGCAGUAGGGAAUAUUGGGCAAUGGGCGCAAGCCUGACCCAGCCAUGCCGCGUGCCGGACGAAGGCCCUCUGGGUCGUAAACGGCUUUUAUCUGCGAAGAAAAGAGGAGAUGCGUCUCUUUGUGACGGUAGCAGAGGAAUCAGCACCGGCUAACUCCGUGCCAGCAGCCGCGGUAAUACGGAGGGUGCGAGCGUUGUCCGGAUUUAUUGGGUUUAAAGGGUGCGCAGGUGGCUUGUUAAGUCUGGUUUGAAAGCAGGCGGCUC